UCCUGAUUAGCUCAAUUGGUAGAGCGUCUCAUUCGAGAUGAAGAGGUCUCUGUUUCGAUACCAGGACCAGGCG
This 73-nucleotide transfer RNA is filed under the name Ixodes scapularis (black-legged tick). Its description in RNAcentral is "tRNA-Ser for anticodon CGA". It matches the Rfam family "tRNA". From Rfam's summary of the family: Transfer RNA (tRNA) molecules are approximately 80 nucleotides in length. Their secondary structure includes four short double-helical elements and three loops (D, anti-codon, and T loops). Lineage: Eukaryota; Metazoa; Arthropoda; Arachnida; Ixodida; Ixodidae. The record is from Rfam by way of RNAcentral.